ACAGUACGGCUUGAGGGAGGCCCGGAGAUGGGUACUGAACCGGACCCAGCCCUAUGGGCGCAGCAGGCGAGAAACCUUUGCAAUGUGCGAAAGCACGACAAGGUUAAUCCGAGUGUCUCCUGCUAAAGGAGUCUUUUGUCAGUUGUAGAAUCACUGGUGAAUAAGGGGUGGGCAAGUUCUGGUGUCAGCCGCCGCGGUAAAACCAGCACCUCGAGUGGUCAGGAGGUUUAUUGGGCCUAAAGCAUCCGUAGCCGGUUGCAUAAGUUUUCGGUUAAAUCUAUGCGCUUAACGUAUAGGCCGCCGAAAAUACUGUGCAGCUAGGGAGUGGGAGAGGUACACGGUACUCGAUAGGAAGGGGUAAAAUCCUUUGAUCUAUUGAAGACCACCUGUGGCGAAGGCGGUGUACCAGAACACGUUCGACGGUGAGGGAUGAAAGCUGGGGGAGCAAACCGGAUUAGAUACCCGGGUAGUCCCAGCUGUAAACGAUGCAGACUCGGUGAUGCAUUGGCUUGUGGCCAAUGCAGUGCCGCAGGGAAGCCGUUAAGUCUGCCGCCUGGGAAGUACGUACGCAAGUAUGAAACUAAAGGAAUUGGCGGGGGAGCACCACAAGGGGUGAGCCUGCGUUCAUUGGAGUCACGC
This 639-nucleotide ribosomal RNA is filed under the name uncultured archaeon. RNAcentral's name for it is "bacterial SSU rRNA". It matches the Rfam family "Archaeal small subunit ribosomal RNA", at positions 264 to 918 of the family's 1478-position model. The record is from RNAcentral.